RNAcentral lists this long non-coding RNA (8053 nucleotides) under Equus caballus (horse). RNAcentral's name for it is "lncRNA (ENSECAG00000055741.1)". Lineage: Eukaryota; Metazoa; Chordata; Mammalia; Perissodactyla; Equidae. The record is from RNAcentral.
UGAGUGGUAGGUCAUGGAUGUUCAUUAGAAUAUUCUCUCUACUUUUGGAUAUGCUUGAAAACGAAAAUAUCUAUAAUAAGAGGCCUUUCAAAAUUGCAUGAAGAUUUAGUAGCUUAAGAAAAUCAUUUGCUGGUAAUCAAAUGGAAGCAUUAUCUAUCCUACAGUGGAAAUCACAGUCCAGCUGCCACCCAGGCUGCAGAUGCCUGUCCCUUGAGGGGAAGCUCUGAGCCACAUCCCUUUCUAGACCAGUCCCCAUUUUACAGAAUUGGCUUUGGCCCAGAGGAAUCAGAGCUAUACUCUGGGUGAAAUGAAAUCCCAUCUCUCUGUUUGCCUUCCUUCCAUAAUGGGCCCAAUAUUUGUGGAAGAAGCCGAGUUGCCCACCCUUCACUGCCAUUUCUGAGCAAGAUUGUUCCCCUGGAAGUCCCUAGCCGGCUAAUCUUUUAUUUGGGGAUUUGUCGCAGUCAUUUCCUGACCAUCCCAUGGCCAUAGGCCAAAACACUAGGAUUAGGUGCCUAGUGAAAAGAAUGUUUCAAGCCCUAGCAAGCAAAAAUUCCUUACUGGAAUUUGCUUCAGGCCUCCUUCCACACUACCAGGCCCUACAAACUUUUACCAGCUUCUCUCCACUCCCUUUGGCCUUGGACAAAAGGGACAUGGGUGGAGUGGGACUCUGGAUCUCAUGGGAAAAGGUUCCAAAGAUUUUCCUUUUUGUUUGUUCUGUCCCAUUGGUCAACUUAGUAAAUUCUAAUUCUGAAUGAAUUAGAAAUUUUGGUUUUCUGCCAACAAACACAGCACCUACCAUGGUGGAAGGGUAUCUCUGUUGGGGGUCGCUCAGCAAUUUUUCCUCUUUCUGGUAACAAAAUCUGCUUUCCUUUGGAGAACCCAUUUGAUAUGGUUGGGUAUGGCUGACUCCACUUCCACUACAGAUGUGGACACACGUGGUAUCCCUGAUGCCAAGUGGUACCUAGAACACAGUAGGUGAGUCGUUAUUAAAUGAUUGGGUGGGUGACAUUUAUGGUUGUUAGUGAAAGAUAUCUUGACUGCAGUGAUUGACUCAUUAGGAUGUAUGUAUCUCAGCAUUUCUCAGCUUUUCUCAUCUUUUUCUCAGAUCUUUUUUAUCUCAGCACACUUUUAUACUUUAUCUACUGUUGGGGACCCCAAAGAACUAUCAUUUAUCGCAGCAAGUCAUCUUUUCUGCUGUACGGAGAAAGCCAGGCUGAGAAUGAAGUCAACAUUGAGGAAAGCAGAGCCAAGAGAUAGAGAAAAAAAACCCCAAACAAAAUGACUCGAACACCCAGAACGUGCCCAAAGUGAGACUUGGCCCAACAUUUUUCAGUUAUGUGAGCCAGCAAUUUCCCUUGUCAUCUAAAAGAUGGUUUAAAUUGGACUUUUGUUGGAGUUGUUGUUUAGUGCAGCAUAACAGGCUGCCUAGUCAUGAAGACUUGCUCUGCUCAUAUCCCAAGACUGAAUGAUCAUUAACAAGGGGUCCAUAUGGCUGUGGAACUUACUGUUCAGCAGUCUUUAGAACCUCUGAUAUGAGCUAACUGCCAUCAGAAAUUUGUGAGACAUAAUAUUUAUGAGACAUAAUGGUCCAGAAAAAAGACUUUCAGUAGUGGUUAGACUAUAUCCCAGAGACAUUUCAAGAAUGGAUAGGCUCAGGGACAUGAUGAUGCUAAGCUAUAUGAGAUUUCACAAGGCCUCACAUUAAGAGUUGCUUUUGGACUUAAGGUGCAAAGAUGGAAGCUUCUGAGCAGAACUGCCUCAAUUUCCUAGAACACGCUUGACAGUGGCUGGAAUCCAUGCAGCAGUCAUGAUCACAUCUAUGACCCAACAAAGGCUGCUUUGCUUUCAUAUUCUAACUGAAAGAACCAUGACAAUGUGCUCUUUUCCAGACAGUAACAGAAUGAGUCUUGCAGCCUCAAAAGUCUCCAAAGUGAGUUGUAUGGAAUAACAUAAAGAAUUAAUAAGAAGUUUUGAAUUUCCUCACUACUCAAAAGACCCACAUGAUUUCUUGCAGUCGGUGAAUCUAAUUAGAAGUGAGAAAAACAGAGAGGUAAGUCUACCAGUAGAACUGGCCAAAAAAACUCAAGCAAGAGAUCUGGGGGUGGACCUGGGAAGCCAGAAGUGAUGGAGGUGUGAUCCACAGCCUUUAAAGUUGGGCCUCAGAGGCAGAGACUGCAAAUUCUCCUCAACCUUCUCCCUUACUAAUAAAACUCCUGGUUUUUAGCUGGGCUCAUGACCAUUCAAAAUAAAGACUACAAUUCCCCGCCUCUCUUGCAACUGGAGAUGUCAUGUGACUAGGUACUAGUCAAUGAACGUAAGUAAGAUUUUCUGUUUAGCUUCCAGAACGUGCUCUUAAAGGGAGGGGAUGUGCUCUUUUCCUCCUUCCUGCUGGCUGGAAUUUAGAUGUAAUGCUGAGAACUUAAGCAGCCAUUUUAUACCAUGAAUUGGACCAGUAAGGAUGGUAAAGCAGAAAGAAAAUGGAGCCGGGGUUCCUGAUGACCAUGGAGCUGUUGCACUAACCCUUGACUGCAUACCUCUGGCCUUGUAUAUGAGAGAAAAAUUAACUUCCAUCUCUUUUAACCACUGGAAUUACUGACAGUUUUUAGUUUUCUGGACUAUGCAGUCAAACUUAAUCUGAUCUGAUAAAACACUCAACAGACAAAUUCUCUGCAAGUGAAAAUUAGCAAAUCCUCAGACCCAGUUAGGAGACCCUCCAAAACUCCGCCUCAGGUCUGGGACGUACAACAUUCCAUACCGUGUUUCAGUGGGGAGGAGACGGUCAUUCAGCCCAUUGCCUUUUGCCCCAGGGUUGGUGAGAGAGAGUCUGAAAAGAUGGGGACAGGAGUUAUCUUGCUUUCUUUGGCUGUGGCAUCAAGUAGCUUUGAGUGGCUGCUUGCUCUCAGAUUUUUCUUCCCAUCCAAAUACUCUAAUCUUGCAAGGGAGGCAGUUAAAUGCUACAACUUACGUGUUUGCACGCUUGCUCUUCGGGAAUCUGCUUUUCCCAGUCUCAGCGUUUGUAAGAAGAGACUCCAGUGCUUAUCAGCAUCUCCAGGGGCCUCCGAGAGGGACUGGACGCACACCUAAUAAGAGAAGGAAAGGAGAGGAGGGAGACAUAGCCCAGAGCUUCCCGAACCAGAGUGUGUAUCGGAAUCCCCUGGUGGACUUCUUAAAACAGGAGAAGCCAUGCGGGACUUCUGCAUUCAUCUUACACCAAAAGAAGUCCCCAUUUCCAGGAACAUUUUGGAGUAGAUCUUGAGAAAAACCACUCCUUUUGUGAACCGUAAUGUGAUGGAUAAAAUUUUUGAAGCAUCUCUUUAAAUGCCUGGUUGACCUGGUGAGAAACUAAUGGAAUUAUCUGGAGGUCAAAAAUGGCAAAUCCAGUGAGGCAAGUGGGAAUUUGAGUUGGUAUUUACCCCUGGGUGUGUGCUAGCCCCUACUCACCUGGAGAUUCCAUUUAAAUGGGCCAUGCACAUGUGGACUGGAAACAAAGUCUCGAACAACCCAGGGAAGUUACAUGUUUAAUUGUGUCCCCCUAAAUUCUUAUGUUGCAGUCCUAACCCCUAUGACACCAGAAUGUAACUUUAUUUGGAAAUAGGGUCAUUGCAGAUGUAAUUAGUUAAGUUUUAAGAUGAGCUCAUUAGGGUGAACCCUACUCCAAUAUGACUGGUGUUCUUGUGAAAAAGGAGAAAUUUGGACACAGACAUGCACACAAGGGAGGAUGCCAAAUGAAGAUGAAGGCAGAGAUCAGGGUGAUGCUUCCACAAGCCCAGAAAUGCCAAAGGUUGCCAGGAAACCCCCAGAAGCUAGGGGAGAAGCGUGGAACAGAUUCUCCCUCACAGCCCUCAGAAGGAACCAACCCUGCAAUGCCUUGAUUUGGGACUUGCAGCCUCCAGAAUUGUGGGAGAACACAUUUCUGAUAUUUAAGCCACCCAGUCUGUGGGAUUUGUUAUGGCAGCCCUAGUAAACUAAUACGGGGGGUCGCGCAAUUGGAUUGGAUGCCCCCACCCAAAGUGUGGCCUGCUCAGUAGGCAAAUGAAAGGGAGAAAACACCCACAGAGGAACCAGUCAAGACGCAGGCACCACAAGCCUGACUUGACACUACUCCUGGGAUGGGACAUACUCUGAGAUGAAAGUUUUGUUUGAAAUGACCCCAGGUUGAUAGUGUUCCCAUGCGCCUGGCAGAAGCAAAUGAAAAUUCCUCUCGAUGAACAUACUUUGAACCCAGACCUCAAAGAAAAAUCCCAUGGAUAACUUUCCAAGAAACAUGAACCCCUGGUCAAAAAUCAUUAAACACACAAAGAAACAGGAGUGAGGGUUGAUGGAAACAAAAAAGUGCUGAAAGAGAACUGCAAAGAACACAGAUAUGGACAUUUUAGAUGCAAAAUAUAAAAUAAGUAAUUUAAUAUGAGUUAAGAAAAAGGCACCGAAAAUAGGAGGGAGAAAAUGAGACUAUCAAAUUUGAUCAGGGAUAUUUGGAAAAGAACCCAAAAAAACUUCAACAAAUAUAUAAUUAUUUUAAAAGUGAAAUGGAUGGGGAGGGCCGGCCCGGUUGCCUACUGGUUAAGUUUAGUGCUCUCCGCUUCAGUGGCCCGGGUUUGGUUCCCAAGUGUGGACCUACAACACAUGUUGGUGGCAAUGGUGUGGUGGCAACUCACAUACAAAAUAGAAGGAGAUUGGCACAGAUGGUAGCUCAGGGACAAUUUUCCUCAAACAAAAAAGAGGAAGAUUGGCAACAGAUGUUAGCUCAGCCAAACUUCCUCAGGAAAAAAAAAUGAAAUGGAUGGUUUAAACAGGUAGGAUACAGCAGAUCUGACAAACUGGAGGAGAGAUCUGAGGAAGUUAUGCAGAAUGUAGACAAAAAGACAAAGAUGUGGAAAAUGGGAAGGAAGAGACAUAUGGAGCAAUAUGACAAGAACUAAAAUACGAUUAAUUGGAAUUCUAGAUGGAAGUGUUAGAAAGAAAGUAACAGGGCAAUAGUUGAAGAGCAAAUGGCUGAAAAAUUUUCUUAACUUGUUGAAAGACACUGUUUCUCAGAUUUAGGAAGCCAAGUGAAAUGCAGUUAAAUAGAGAAGAAACCCACCCAUACACUCACCAUAGUAAAACUGGAAUGCCAGGAGUUCCAAAGAUACAAGUAUGGGAAAGACUAGACAAAACUACCCCUAUUUGCAGGAUAUAGAAUAAUCUAUUUAAAAAACCCAAAAGAUCAUAACAAAUAAGACUUUUUUUUUUAACAAGGAAUGUAUUUUAUUUGUUUAUUUAUUUAUUUUUUGAGGAAGAAUAUCCCUGAGCUAACAUCUGCUGCCAAUCCUCCUCUUUUUGCUGAGGAAGACUGGCCCUGAGCUCACAUCUGUGCCCAUCUUCCUAUAUUUUAUAUGUGGGACCCGUGUCACAGCAUGGUUUGAUGAGCGGCAUGUAGGUCCACACCUAGGAUCCAAACCGGCGAACCCCAGGCCACCAAAGCAGAGGGCAUGAACUGAAUCGCUGCACCAUUGGGCUGGCCCCUGUUUGAUGAACAUGAGAUGCUCAGACUCACUAAGAAUAAAAGAAAUGCUAAUUUUUUUAAUUGAGAUAAUCUCAACCAAAAGAAUGCCAAUGAUUAAAAGUCAUAAUAACAGAAGUUGAUAAAGAUAAUGGAAAAGGCAGGUGUUGCUGGUAAGUAUAUACAUUCUGGAAGAGCAGUUUGGCUCUUUUAAUAGUUUAAUGUGCAUUCCUACUACCUGGCAUUUCCAUGUCCUAGUAUCUAUCCUCUAGAACCUUGCACGCAUGCACUAAGAGGUAUGUACAGGGAUUUUUAAUUUGGCAUUGUUUACAGUAGGAACAAAAAGCCAGAGGGGCCAACCGGUGGUGUAGUGGUUAAGUUCGUGCACACCACUUUGGCAGCCUGAGGUUUGCAAGUUCAGAUCCUGGGUGCAGACAUACACACCACUGAUCAAGCCAUGCUGUGGAGGCAUCUCACCUACAAAAUGAAGGAAGACUGGCACAGAUGUUAGCUCAGGGCCAAACUUCCUCACACACAAAAAAACCGGAAAGAAACCAAAUGUCCAUUAAUAGGAAAACAAUUGUGUAAACUAUGAUAUAUCCAUUCUAUAGAAUACUUAAAAAAAAAAUACUGAGGCGGAUCUGUAUACUCUGACAUGGAAAGCACUCUAAAUUAUAUUAAGUUGGGGCAGACAGGGAGAAAGCAAUUUGGACACUUUGCAUUGUUUACGUAAAGAUACACAUAAUACAAUUACCUAUUUUCAAAAGAGGAAAGCAAAUACAUAGAAAAAUUCUCAACGGAUACACACCGUCUGCAUCUGGGGACUGUACUUGGAAAGUAUGGAGGGCAAAGUUGGAGAUGUGAGUCAAAUGAUUUAUCUGUAAUUUUUUCAUUUGUCUAAGGAGAACAUAUACAUGAGUUAAUGUGAAAUUUAUCUUUUUAUUUGUUUCAAGCAACUGCAAAGUAUGAAAACCCAUUCUUUACAAAAAGCUGAAUUACAGAUUUAUUCUUCUCUGCAACAAAACACUUUGCAGUGGAACCUAUUUCAGUCGUGAGCUUCUUUUCCAAAUUGUUCACUUUACCUAGAUUUUAUUCACACAUCUUUUCUCAUCACUCUGUGCUGCGUAAAGCAAAGCACAGCUGCUCUGUGGAAAUGGUGAGAGUGACAGUGAAUCCAGAAUUAUUGUAGUGGUGUUCUCCUUAUUUACAGGUGUGGUAUUAUUCUAUCUCUCUUUUUUCCCCUUCAACUCGCCGUUUGUUAGAGCCAAGCUUCAGAACCAGAAUUCUGCCGUUCAGUGACUUUGGGACCUCACAUAAGUUACCCAAUGUCCCUAAGUUUCAGGUUCCCCAUUUCUAAAACUCAGGAUAACACCUACUUCAAAGGCUGGCUGUAUGAAAUAAGACAUUCAAAGUGAAACGAAUUAACAUAGUGCCUGAUCGACAGCGUUAGCUUUCCCUACUGAGUGGAAGGCUUCAAAAGUCAAGGGUGCCACCUAACAAUUGUGUGAACUUGAGCAAAGUAAUUCAGCCUCUCUGAGUCUCAGUUUUCUCCUCUGUGAAAUGGGUAGAACAACAUUUUCCUUGUAUGGAUUUCUCUGAAUCGUAAACAUAGUGAACAGCAAGCCCAAUACAGGGACCAUGAUGGUUGUCAUGUCAGUGUUUGUUCCUCUCCCUCUCCCCCUCUUCCCUUCCCGUGGUCUUCUGCAUUUCCCAGUUGACUCGGCAGAUGGAGCAGUUGAAUCGCAUGGUGAGCCUCAGCACAGCUGGCCUGAGUCACAUCCCCACAAAGCAGCUGCCCUGUGCUGCUUUCACUGGGGACAAACCUACACUCCUUCUCGAAUGUUUGGCAGUCGAGGGCAGCGGUCCUGGAAGGAGGUGGCAACAGCAGUGUUGCAAUACAGUCUGAGAUUUCACUAAACACUGAGCCACCUGGAGGCCCCCAUAAAUGCAAAGUCUGUCAUUUUUCAUGCCUAAGGCAGUCAAGCCAAGUAUCUAUUGCUUUUCGGCAGGCUCUUUGGCACACUUCAGAGGCACUACUUUAGGGCCAACUUCUCAUCAAAUUAAUAUUCUGUCUGUAGGGAAGACUUUGUUAACUAACUGAGUUUAAUGAAGAUUUUUUUCACUUUUGGAAAAAAGAAUAUGUUGGUUCUCCUUUUUUGGUCUGCUUGGAUGAAGGGAAGUUGAUGUUCUAGGUUGAAUGCAAGACUGGAAUAGGAUAUUCAGAGGCAGCUUCUUAUAUGGGACCACCUUUCCUAUGCCAGUCCUCAGAGGUUUAUGAGCUUACAUCCAGCACCUGACUUUCCAAGAUCCGACAAUCUCCUGGUCUGCCCUGCUCCGAGAAGCCGGGUUAACACUGGACCAACAUAAUGAGUGGAUGACUGAGGUCAGAGCAGCUGUGUUACAGCAGCAGAAUGUCCAGCACGUGAGCAGUCAUCACAGCGAGCCAGGGCAGAGCACAUGGCAGUGAUAUCCCAGAGUAAAAUUAAUUUCCGUGUUAUUCCAGCACAGCAGAAUUGCUGGGAGCCACAAGUUCAAUUUGAUCAGCACGUCUCAACCCUAUCAGACCCAGUGCCC